Molecule: long non-coding RNA, 207 nt
Filed under: Lathyrus oleraceus (garden pea)
Lineage: Eukaryota; Viridiplantae; Streptophyta; Magnoliopsida; Fabales; Fabaceae
Description: Pisum sativum (pea) long non-coding RNA (PSAT_LNC040729)
Source: RNAcentral
CAAAUGUAAAGUAACAGGAUCCAAGGUCAUUCGUGUAUAUCUUGGACAUUCCUCAUUUCCAAAUGAAGUUAUUUCCCUACAUGUGCUCGUAGAAUUAUUUCUUAGCAAAUCAUUGUUCAACUUUGUGAUUAAAAAUGAUAUUUCCAGCAUUUUUCUUUACAAUCAUUGCUCCCGAAGCAGAGGUUACCCUAAAAAGUCUCUUAUAAG